RNAcentral lists this small nucleolar RNA (114 nucleotides) under Otolemur garnettii (small-eared galago). RNAcentral describes it as "Small nucleolar RNA U13". It matches the Rfam family "Small nucleolar RNA U13". Lineage: Eukaryota; Metazoa; Chordata; Mammalia; Primates; Galagidae. The record is from Rfam by way of RNAcentral.
AUCCUUUUAUGAUGCUUUUUAUGAUUCCUAAAUGUUGUUUGGGUUUUCAAGUUCAUGUGUAAUAAGUGCCUCUCUUGAACUUUGUUACAACAUGAGUACAUUACCAGCCUGAGG